AACAUGUUAUAUUACAUUGAUGAUAUAUAUAACUUAUUAAAUUCAUUUUUCAGAUAAGUUUGCGGAUCUUAUAUACCAAGAUUUUCCUUUUUUUUUUUUGUAAUAAAAAUUAAUUAAUAUAUACGUACCAUGCAGAAUAUGCGGCAGGGAGUAAGUUGUCAACCUAUGGUGACAUGUACAGUUAUGGAAUUCUAGUGUUGGAAACAUUUACAGGAAAGAGCCCCACAGAUGAAAUAUUCAAGGAUGGCCUAAACCUUCAUGAUUUUGUGAAGAUGGCCAUACCUGAACAAGUAUUGAAUGUUUGUGAUCCUACACUAGUUGACCGUUGCCUUGAAAAUAAAAAUGUUAUAAGGACGGAGAAGUGCCUGUGUUCAGUGUUUAGAAUCGGGAUUGCUUGCUCUAUGGAGUCGGCAGAAGCACGCAUGGACAUUGCACAUGUCCUUAAGGAGCUGAAGUUCAUUAGAGAUGAUCUCUAAUCACAAGCGCAUUUAAGAUUUAAAAUUUAUAUGUUGCUUUAGUGAUCUCAAUUAUAUUAAUAUGCAAUAAUUAUAGAGUAAUCCCCAGAGUGACUUACCAACGCCUUCAGAAAGCAACGAAUGGCUUCUCUCUGGAGAAUUCGAUUGGUUGGGGGAACUUUAGCUCUGUAUACAAAGGCAUUUUAGAUGAAUCAGUUGAUGGAAUUAAGCAGAUUGCUGUAAAGGUACUGAAACUUCAAAUGAAAGGAGCUAGCAAGUCCUUUGUUGCUGAGUGUGAAGCACUGAGGCAUAUCAGACAUCGAAACUUGGUGAAGCUUUUAACUUGUUGUUCAAGUAUUGAUCACCAAGGUCAUGAUUUUAAGGCCAUAAUUUAUGAGCUCAUGAUCAAUGGUAAUCUGCACAAUUGGUUGCACCAAAGUUGUUGGAAGAAUAGUACUACGGAUGAGGAGAAUCAUAAGCAGCCAAGAAGUAAUUUAAACAUUAAACAAAGGCUGGCUAUUGUGAUAGAUGUGGCCACUGCAUUGGAUUAUCUACACAAUCAAUCUGGAAUGCCAUUAAUACAUUGCGAUCUCAAACCGAGUAACGUGCUUUUGAAUGAAGAAUUUGUUGCUCAUUUAGGUGACUUUGGAUUGGCAAGAUUUACGCAAGCUGAUGCCGCCACACAUGUACAGAGCAGCUCUAGCACAGUAAAAGGGACGCUAGGAUAUAUACCGCCGGGUAAGUAUUCCCUCUGGCUGCCCAAAGCCUUCUGCACUUCUUAAUGCUUAUUUUUUUUUUUUUAUGAGAUUGACUUUUAACAGUUCACGAUAUACUCAAUAUUUAUACUAUCAGGUCACUUAAUCAUAGGUAAUUUUAUUCAAUAUUUCUAGUUCAACUUAAUUUGUACUUUUCUUUUUAAUCUCUAUUUAAAAAGAAUGAUCACUUUUUAUAUUUACUAACUCUUUAAGCACGAGAUGCAGAUUAAGAAUAUUUCAACACAUUAUAAAGAGUUUUCUUUAAGUUUAAAAUUCACAAUAUUGGAAAAUUGUCCUUGUUUUUUAAACUCGAUGUUUAUUCAAACUAAGACACACCGGAAGGAAAAUACGAAAUAACAUUGAUUAAAUAACCUAGAAUAAAUGGUGAGUAACAUGUUAUAUUACAUUGAUGAUAUAUAUAACUUAUUAAAUUCAUUUUUCAGAUAAGUUUGCGGAUCUUAUAUACCAAGAUUUUCCUUUUUUUUUUUUGUAAUAAAAAUUAAUUAAUAUAUACGUACCAUGCAGAAUAUGCGGCAGGGAGUAAGUUGUCAACCUAUGGUGACAUGUACAGUUAUGGAAUUCUAGUGUUGGAAACAUUUACAGGAAAGAGCCCCACAGAUGAAAUAUUCAAGGAUGGCCUAAACCUUCAUGAUUUUGUGAAGAUGGCCAUACCUGAACAAGUAUUGAAUGUUUGUGAUCCUACACUAGUUGACCGUUGCCUUGAAAAUAAAAAUGUUAUAAGGACGGAGAAGUGCCUGUGUUCAGUGUUUAGAAUCGGGAUUGCUUGCUCUAUGGAGUCGGCAGAAGCACGCAUGGACAUU
This 2031-nucleotide long non-coding RNA is filed under the name Capsicum annuum. RNAcentral's name for it is "long non-coding RNA (CANN_LNC014966)". Lineage: Eukaryota; Viridiplantae; Streptophyta; Magnoliopsida; Solanales; Solanaceae. The record is from RNAcentral.